Molecule: ribosomal RNA, 484 nt
Filed under: uncultured bacterium
Lineage: Bacteria
Description: partial 16S ribosomal RNA
Rfam family: Bacterial small subunit ribosomal RNA
Source: RNAcentral
AUUGAACGCUGGCGGCAGGCCUAACACAUGCAAGUCGAGCGGACGAAGGGAGCUUGCUCCUGGAUUCAGCGGCGGACGGGUGAGUAAUGCCUAGGAAUCUGCCUGGUAGUGGGGGAUAACGUCCGGAAACGGGCGCUAAUACCGCAUACGUCCUGAGGGAGAAAGUGGGGGAUCUUCGGACCUCACGCUAUCAGAUGAGCCUAGGUCGGAUUAGCUAGUUGGUGGGGUAAAGGCCUACCAAGGCGACGAUCCGUAACUGGUCUGAGAGGAUGAUCAGUCACACUGGAACUGAGACACGGUCCAGACUCCUACGGGAGGCAGCAGUGGGGAAUAUUGGACAAUGGGCGAAAGCAUGAUCCAGCCAUGCCGCGUGUGUGAAGAAGGUCUUCGGAUUGUAAAGCACUUUAAGUUGGGAGGAAGGGCAGUAAGUUAAUACCUUGCUGUUUUGACGUUACCAACAGAAUAAGCACCGGCUAACUUCGUG